UGAUGAUUCACGUCACAUGGGAUUUUCCAACCUUUUUCAAGAGGACUGUGACAUUGACUUUGAGAACGUGUUCAUGUAAAAUUUUCUCCCUUGGGCAUACAGAGAAAAUCACGCGAGUUAUUCAAUUUGAAACCCAUGAAAUAUAGCUCGAUAUGCUGCUUGGUAAUGCACAACAAUAAAACGCAGAAGGCGAAGUUAUGACCGUUGGCUCUGCAGCUUUCGCUGAAGCGGAUGGCAACUAAAUUGGAUUAAAUUAUAUCUACAAAACAACAAUCGAUGAAUCGCUAGUUGGUUGAGAGGACCGUUCUUUCGGGUCAAUAG
This is a long non-coding RNA of Frieseomelitta varia, 321 nucleotides long. RefSeq lists it as uncharacterized. Lineage: Eukaryota; Metazoa; Arthropoda; Insecta; Hymenoptera; Apidae. The record is from RefSeq and is a predicted model, not a curated record. The transcript has 2 exons.